This 2074-nucleotide long non-coding RNA is filed under the name Homo sapiens (human). Its description in RNAcentral is "HSALNT0242961". The record is from RNAcentral. Lineage: Eukaryota; Metazoa; Chordata; Mammalia; Primates; Hominidae.
CAUUAAUUUGCCCAAGCCCAGAGUGUGUGAGAAAGUGCCUGCCUGACAUGUUUUUCUUUUCCAUUAACACUUCUGUGAUAAACAGCUUAGAUGCUCAGAGAAAAAUUAAUGAAACUAUUGUAACAAUCAUGCACAUGUAGGUAAUUUAUUAAGGACAAUUAAAAAGCUUUAAAAAUCAUCCGUGAGGCAAAAUGAACAGGAAGAUGGUGUGUGGCGGGUUUUGGCAGGGAGCCUGCCCGUGGGUGUACGGAACAGGUUUCUCUUCCCAUCGCCCUCACCCCCAUCAGAGCAACACAGCAGUGGAAAGCGUGGAUUCCUGCUGUCCAGGCUGUUAGUAACAAACAUUCUAUGCUGGUUGCCUGUUGGGUGAAGCCAGGGAGAUGUGUGACUGUGUGGUCUGGCUGUUCUGCUCUACCUUCCUUGGGACCCAGGUAUGCUGGUUCCUGGGCCUCCCUUCCAGGAGCAGGAGCAUGUUGGGUGACAACUUGGUUAUUGGACUUUUGUUGUUUGUGUUGGCUCUAGGAGCCUCGAAACCAGGUGAGGGGCAGCAAGGGAAGCCUAGAGAGGUUAAGGUGGCACUGUCAUGACGACACCAGCCACUUACUAGCUUGGACCUUGGCCUCUCUGUGUAACGAGCCUGAGCCUCAGCUUCCUCAUCUGCAAAAUGGGGAGAAUCGUUAGGAAGGAGUGGAGGAUUGGAGCGAGGAUCACACAAGAUCAUGCAUGCUGAGGGCCUAGCGUGAUGCCUGGCAGGUAUGUAGUAAAUGUUCAAAUGUUUAAUAUUCUUUGUUAUCAUGAGCGGCAUCAUGAUUGUGUUGUUGGCUGAAAGCCAAGCUAGGGUUGACACCCACAUAUCAAACUCCAAGGCCAGUGCACUUUUCAUGAUGUGCCAGUACCCACCCACUCACCCUUGGAUCCUCCCUCCACCGCCACUGUUUUACAGGAAUGCCAAUACUGUGUCCUGUGUGAAUGCUAGGAUGUACUCACUGAGCCUCCUUGAGGCUUGGGUGAGGCCCCUCUUUGGAAGGAUGGAGCUGCCUAGCUUCCUCCUGGUCUCAUCUCUAUCCCCACUCCUUCUCCAACCCUGUCAUGGUUCAUAGCCCCAAAGUGACAGAUCUUCCACACUCUGGAAUUUUUUUCACACGUGUGGAGGACUGGGAUUGCUAGAAUUUGUUUCUUUUUAUUGGUUGGUGACCCAAGAAAUCUUUGACCUUGUGGACCAGUGGUUUCUCAAAUGCAGAUAUAUUUAAUAAAGUCAGGGUCUGUUAGCGGAUGGUAUUGGUCCCUCUCUGGGUAUUUAUCUUUAUUUUAUUGUUUUUCCCCAAGGCUUGAUCGUAGACACAUAGGUUAUGUGUCCAUUAUAGACAUAUGCAUCUAUUUUCAAGAAGUAAAUUUUAGUUCACUUACUGACUAGAAAGGAAAAGAAAGUGUUUUAGAGUAGACACGUCAGACACGACAGAUUUUUUUCCCUUUCCGUGCUAUAAAUGAGCAGUGAAAAAUGACUUUUGCUAUUAAAAGCUGUAGCACCAGCCAGGCGCAGUGGUUCGUGCCUGUAAUCCCAGCACUUUGUGAGGCCCAGGCAGGCAGAUCAUGAGGUCAGGAGAUCAAGACCAUUCUGGCCAACACGGUGAAACCCCGUCUCUACUAAAAGUACAAAAAUUAGCUGGGUGUGGUGGCACGUGCCUGUAAUCCCAGCUACUCGGGAGGCUGAGGCAGGAGAAUCGCCUGAACCAGGAAGUCGGAGGUUGCAGUGAGCCUAGAUAACACCACUGCACUCUAGCCUGGCAACAGAGUGAGACUCCAUCUCAAAAAACAAACAAACAAACAAACAAACAAAAAACUGUAGCACCUGUAAAAAAUAGUAAAUUAUAGGACAUUAUCAAAGUUUAUAGGCACUAGAAUUUGACCUUCAGUAAAUUCAACAUUGGAGGGUAACAGGGUUUUCUUUCCUUUCUUCAAAAUGAAAAAUGAGAGGGAGGAAAAAGAUUUAUUUCCUUCUGGGGCUGGAGUAACAACUGGAAAUGGUAUUCCCCAGCUUAAAGAAAGAAAGAAAGAAAGAAAGAAAGAAAGAAAG